This 5252-nucleotide long non-coding RNA is filed under the name Haliotis rubra (blacklip abalone). RNAcentral's name for it is "uncharacterized LOC124286163". The record is from RNAcentral. Lineage: Eukaryota; Metazoa; Mollusca; Gastropoda; Lepetellida; Haliotidae.
GUAGCAAUAAGACUCCUUCCCUUCACAUCACAUGUCGUUCUCUCUCUCCGACAGAGCACCACACCACUUCCUGUGAUCACAAAUUGCAAGGCUAUUGUUCAAAUUUAAAAGCCAGCUCUUAUAUUGUCCAUGAUUUUGUUGAUAGGAUUCCAUUGCUGGAUCAUUAACUGUAAUGACUGAGGUACUGGUGCAGCAUUGUUUCUUGAAUGGUUUGUUUGGGGGAAGUCACUUUUUAAUCAGUUCAUUUUAGACACGUGAGGGGACUACGAUCGAAUGUUUAUUUCUCACUUGUUUCUGAAAAUGCAGCAAGGUCCGGAGACAGUAAGUGAUUGUGGUUUAAGUAUUGUAGAAUGACUAUGACGCUUUCCUCAAUCUUAAGGCUGAAGUCAGUGUUAAUUUUUUGAGUAAGUUGUGUUACACCUAUGUUGUAGUACUCUAUGUGGGAUCUACGUUUCUAGAUCUGUUCAGGCUUCACCCUGUUUUUGGCCCCAGAGUGGAGGGGCAGUAUUGUGUUCUGCUACAAGGGCAAGCUUCGGCAUAAUUAGGUGCAUUUCAGUGAGCAUCACUUGAUAUUUAAUGACUUAUUCAGGGAUAGAACUUGACUGUGGUAUGUUAGCCUAUCUGCUUAAAGGGUUAGUGAACAUGAUCCUUUCAGACCUACGAUCCUGUGGACACUAACUACAAAAUAUCCUGUAUUAUGUUGUGAACACUAGGAUACCCACUAACAUUACCUAACUCAGAGAUGCCAACCCAUAUGAUUUUAUCAAAUUCAUUACGAAGAAAAACAACACAAAAUACGAUAGCAGUAAAAAUGUACAAAGUUUUAGAAAUAUAUUAACUUAAAUUAUCAAAUAACAUACGUACCAUACACAAUGAAUUUCAACCACAUUUUAUUCAGUAUCAAGCUAUAUGUGGAUAAUUAACUACUGAUUUAGGUGAGUACAGUGUUAAUAACAAGGUCCUAGAAUAUCUUCUUUUUUAUUAAAUAUGAAAAUUCUUUGGAAAUGUUAAUACCAACUUUGGCCAAAACAAUACUAAUUUUUGCAUCAGUCUUUGGCCAAAAUACUAAUUGGGCUAAAUUGGGGUUGGUAUCUCUGCCUAACGAUACUGCAAACUCCUCAACCAUAUUGAUGAAACUGUGAAAACUGAUUGACAAAGAAUUCUUGUUUCAUCAGAUAGGUGGAAAUGCCUGCAUUUUGAAAUGUUUUUUUCUAACCACUCACUCAAUGUAGUUUUAGGCGGACAGUCUACAAGUUCUAUCCCAGCUGAAUGCACUGUGUUUCUGUACAUACUAAUGUCUUGUACAUCCAGGUAUUAUUAAUGUUCACAAGUAAAUUAUCAUGUCAUGAUUCUACCCUGUUAUGUAGCCUGUCUUGAUUGCAAAAUUAUUUAAAACAGUAAUGUCUGUUACUAAUGAUUUUCCUGUAUUGUUUUGUGCAUAAUUCCCAGAUUACUACUUCAGCUUCUGUUGAGAUUAACUGUACAUUGUUUCCAGUCACAGUUACAGGUUCUGAUGUCAGAGCAACACAUUUCUCCACAAAGAGUAUGAGGACACAUUAAGGGCAGAUAAGUGAUGGAACUUAUUACAAAUUUUAAUAUCCUAAACCAAAAGUCUUAGGCCUCUCUUACCUUCUGUUUCAGACUAGUGAGUGGGUGAGUAUGGUUUUACGCCACUUUUAGCAAUAUUCCAGCAAUAUCAUGGCGGGGGACACCAGAAUUCAGACCAUUGCCUUCAGUAUUCCUCUUUCCUUGCCCACAUCCCAAAGCUGUCAUUAGACUAAGGAGGAAGUACCUUUGGAGUGUUACAUGCUGAACCACAGAUAUGAUUACAGUGAUGCUCUGUACGUGUCUGGUCUUCCUUCAGGACAAGCUUGGGAGGUUCAGUCUUUCUGUUAAGAUGCAGGUCUGUUGUCUUUCAAUGUUCAGGCUAGUUUGUCUCAUUGUUGCAGUAUCUGGGACAUAGGGGCAGAAAUUCACAGAAUUUCUGUGCAUCUGUGAUGGGAUUACUGGUUUUAAUCUCAGAUUUCCCCUGAUAAUGAUCCUUGGUCAGCCAGCACCAUCCCUCAACACUGUGUUUCCUUCAAACAUAUCUUGUGUGAUCUGUAGCUUCAGUCUCACCAGUGUUAUAUAAGAAGUAAUAGUAUUUGGCCAUUACUGUUUCUGCUAUUUUCCACUAAAAUGCCUGACUAGAACAGAUGCAAGUUUCUGAAAUAGCUGGAAUAUUGUUCAUUGUGACAUAAAACAAUAUUCACUCACUGUUUUGGCCCUUGGUUUACCUGAUCCAAGAACAAGACACAACAUUCUAGUCUAUUACCGACUGUGCAAGUAUGUGCAGUCCCUCUCAAUUCACUCAUUUGAGUAAUGUGUUUCUGGAGAUGGUAGUGGAAAUUAAUUUGAUAAAGUGUUCAGGUUUUCCUCAAGACAACAUUGAGACAAAACGUCCGAGGCCUUAUUCCACAAAGCAGUCUUAGAGCUAAGGUGAUCGUAGCUCCCAUACUUUAACGUUGGCCUGGGACGGUGGGGUAGCCUAGUGGUUAAACCGUUGGCUCGUCACGCCGAAGACCCGGGUUCGAUUCCCCACAUGGGCACAAUGUGUGAAGCCCAUUUCUGGUGUUCCCCGUCAUGAUAUUGCUGGAAUAUUGCUAAAAGCGGCGUAAAACUAAACUCAGUCAGUCAGUCAGUAACGUUGGCCUACGAUAGUCAUACUGCUAAGAUCACUCUAUGGAUUGGGCCUUGGGAUAUUUUUGGCUGUUCUUCAGCACUGUAGAAUUAUUCAAACUUUUAAAUUGUUUAACAAUGUUUGAAAUACAUUGUACUCAUAUUCCACACAAGACAAGGUGAAAACUACAUCAACUGUAUAUGGGACUAUUACCCUUACCUCAACCAUGUUAACAUGUAAUAACAAGGAAGUAGGUUCCAGGCAAUGACUGUCAAACAUUUGCUUUGUUUAUAUGACCCUGUUUAGUAUGAUAAGACUGUGUUACCAAAUGUUCCAUAUCUGAAUGUUUGCAUAGACUUGCUAUGACAAUGUUGUAAGAUUUGCCUUCAGGAGUGAUUUUUUGGUCAUGAAACAGUUAUGAGUUGCUGUGAGUGGCUAAGGAGCACCUCCUCAACACUCCUGCCGAGCAUGUAGGUGGAAGAGUCACCUGUUGACGACAGGUUAUACAACAUAGUUGCGUCCCUCAUCCCAGAGUGCUAUGAGGACAGAGUGAGAAUAUGUUGAAUGUGGGCCCCCUCGUUUGUUGAUACAAGUAUAUGAGAUGAGUCCCAUACAUCUCCAUGUUAGUCUGUUUAUUUUUGUGCCGAUUGUUGUGGAUGUUGUUGAUCUUGGAAUGACAUUAUGAGGUGAAACAUUUAAGUCUGUUUAACUUGAUGUCUACAUGUAUUUUAUCCCUUGUUCCAAGUGCUAUUUGAGUAAUUGUGAGUGUAAUAUUGUGUGUAUCAUCUAAUUUGUAGAAUGAUUAGUUAUUUCAUUAACCUGUAGAUAUAUUUUAAUGAAGGAUUAUUUGAUUCUCCUGGCCAAUCUGUGUACGGUAUUUACCGUAUUCAAAGUAUCAAAAUUUGAAUCAGAAUCAUUUCAAAUCUGUAUCAGGUUUGAACUUCUUUUCUCUCUAAUUUCUUUUUUUUUUUAAAUUUGAUGUCUUUUUUUAAAUAUAAUUUUAGAGUAAUAAUUAAAAAGCUUCAGUGUGUGAAAUAUACAUGAGCAUAGUAUUUACCAAGAGACUGAUUGAUAAUCACUAUAUUUCAUCAUGUUUUAUGUAACUUCUCCUAAUUGUCUCAUACACGACUCAGAUAGUUUACUGUUGUACCAACAUAAAAGGCAAGUAUAUAUGCUUUUAUGUAUCAACUGUUACUCAGUAUUCUGCAAGCCAAAUAAGAAAUUAGUCCUCAUUUUCCAACAACACACAUAUCACUUUCAAAAAUCAUUUUACAAGAAAUGUGACUGGUCAUGUUAUUUGGGGCAGUGGGCAGGUGAGAUGAAGAAGAUGUCAUGAAAAAGUGACAACACAAAGAGUGGUUGGGAUUCUUCAGAAUUUAUCACAAUUACAUGGGGGAUGGGGGCAUGCAAAAAUAGAAAAAUAAUACAUGUAAACAUUAUUAGCACAUAAUUUGAUGUAAAUAUGAACAUGUGUGUGUGUGCAUGUGUGCAUGUGUGUGUAAAGGUUGGAUUGAGACAGGUGGUCUGCAAACUAUGAUGCAGUCCUAAGACCAAUCCAACCAGCCCAUCGCACCUUAUAACAGAUGACCAGUUCCAAAUCUGUAUGCAAAGUAAAUAAAACAAUGACCAGUUUAAUUUUUUUUUUUAACAUUUCAUUAUAUUGGGAUAACUAUUGAGAAAAAGUAGAAAUUUUAACCUUUCUUCUGUUAUUUUUAGUCUUCUUUUUUUUUUCCUGAUAUUUUUUCAACUGACUAAACUGACAGGAAUGUAAUCUCAGGCUUGCUAUAUCAAUAUGGCUCCAUAGACAGUUCCUUGUCAACAUAGUCCGGACAACCCUUGUUUGCAAUGUUCAUAGUUCAGUUUAUUUUUGUAUCAUUUCAUUCCAUGUUUUAAUGACAACUGACCAUGUUCUAAAUCCCCAAAACAUCUGUCUCACAAAUACAGACUUGCUUUUCUGAACAUUCAAAUUGUCACCGACAUCAUUCAGUUUUACAACUACAGCUAGCUCAACACUCAAGGUAAUAUUAUAUGUUAGUAACAAUAUACUUAGGGGACAAAUAUUUCAUCGUAGAUGCUAUAUUUUUUAUGUAUGUAUAGAAUGACAUGGAAGUAUUACAAUUACCAAUAGUUCACCUGGUCCCCAUUUGUUUGCUGUUGAGUGGACUGUGUGCUGUACAUCACCUCAAUGUCUGUUAAAGAUGUUUUCUCGACCAGAAGGCUGUGACAGACAAAUACACCUUGCUUACUCGAACAGCUUUUGACCCUCAAUUCAUGGUUGGCGGUCUAGACGUCUAUAAACUGGUAAAUAUGAGACUAUUUCUUAUCUCAUGUUCGUCAUUAUGUAGAUAGACGACAAAAACAGAGAACUGACUGAAAUCACAAGCUCACAUCUAAGUAUCGGAGAGGCUAUAUCAUAUUUCAUGAAAAGAUAAGUAUAAAUGGUUCACUGUCUCUGAUCCAAAGACUCUUUAUUAUUACUCAUUAUAAUUCAUAUUCUGAUGCUCAAAAUAUACAAUAAAUUGAAAUUAUUUUUCAUGAUCGAUCUCUUAAUUUAGUAAGAAAAACAGAUUUAAAUUAAAUUAAAAUAAAAAUU